AUAUCUAGCUAGUUCAAUGCUUUAAUUCAGGAACCUUGGCCAAAGCUGCUUUGUUUUUAAAAGUCUCAACUCUGCUUCUCCGAGCAUUUGUGCUCCUAUUGGCUUGGGGCAAGGCGGGAGAGAGGGAUGGAGAAGGAGAGGGAGAGAUCCCUCGAGGUCGAUUUCUCGUAGAGAUCGACGAGAAAGGCCGCUCUACUUGAGACAUCGCAGCCGAGCUUGCCUCAAAUCCGAGAUCAGGAAGGGAGAAGCAUCACGGCGCACAUGCUCUCUCGGAAGAUCGAAGACGCCCCAAGACUCCAGACCAUGUUCUCUUCAUCGUACGCUGCCUUCGUUCCAACUUCUUUGGUUGUAAUUGUUCUCGUUUUCUCCUUUUAGGUUCAUCCAAUAUAAUGUGUUCGCUUGAAUGUAUUCAAACUUCUUGGGAAUGGCGCUGUCAAAUCAUAUGAAGAAAGCUGUUCUUUCUGCGAUCACAAAGAUCAAAGCGCGGCGGAUCUUGGAUAGCAGGGGAUCCCUACUGUGGAAGUGCAUCUCUACACGAACAAGGGGACGCAUCGAAACUCGGUUCCGAGCGGUGCCGCUACUGGAAUUUAAGCUGCUUGUCUUUCUUAUGCCUGCUUUUCUUAGACUUUUUUGGCUUCUUUGGAAUGAGUUGCUGUGCUGAAAUAUCCGAUCUAGGGUAGAAGACGAAUCAUCUAAAAUCUAUUCUCCAGUUGUUUUAUUUUGCAUAUAUAUGGAUAUAAUUAUGCUCUGGGAUUGAUGGGAGAUUAGAUUUUUAAUUUACGGUAAGAGGCUUACUUAGUUAAGAAUCAAGAAGAGGAGUAGCGUUGUUGGUAGUAUGUACAACCAGAAGAUAACUGUGAGAAAUUUGGAUCAAUGAAACUCUCUACAGGGAAAGGCUUUACAAAUGUUUUAAAGAAACAUGGAAGUGCAGCCCUAGAAUAUGUCUUGAAAGCAUAUUUGGCUAUUUAACAUUGCUAUGUUCUUAUAUUCCUUCAAGAGGUAGGAAUUGUUGCCUUUUCAUUAUGUGAAUCACCAUCUGGGAAUGUGAAAAGCCAUGUAGGCAAUAUCAUAACCCAUAUUAGUGGACCGCAUGAAGCUGUCUAUUCUCUGACUUUCUUCAUGCGGUUUGUCCGUUAUGAUACUUAGCUGUUCUGCUUUUGCUUUUAUGUUUCUGCAUUCAUUUUCUUUAUGUAGAUGAUACUAGCUUACUAUUAUGCAGCACUAGUAAAUAGAAACAUAUGUAAUCUCAAUGCCUGAUUUGUCUUUAGUGGUUUGCGCUGUUUUGAAAUGUCAACCGCAUUUGCUUUUAUAUGUACGCAAAACCUGAUCACUGAUCUAUAGUCAAGUUAUUGGGCUUCGGUUUAAUUACUGACCCUAUGAGGAGGCUGUUGAAUUGCGUGAUGGUGAGAAAGGUAAAUAUCUUGGAAAGGAUGUUCCAAGAGCAGUGUAUAUUACUAAUGAAAAUAUUUCUGAAGCUUUAAUUGGCAUGGACUCUGUACUUCAAUCCCAGAUCAAUCAACCAAUGAUGGAUUUGGACAAAAAUGAGAAUAAGGCAAGUUCUUCUGUCAACGUUUUCCAUAUGCUUUGCCUCUCUACAUUUAAUCCUUAAAAAGCCUUUUGUACUUGAAAUAUUUCUUCGUAAUUGCAAUGCAGUGCACAAUACUGGCUUGUAUUUAUGCGCAAACUUCUUUACCAUCUCCAAUUUAUUUUUUACUCUUAUGUCAUUAAAAAACUCCUGGUUCUACAUUACUUUUUAUUUAAAUCUUUUAAUUCAUUAAGUUUUCAUCAAGUUGUUUACAGUUUAUCUCAUGAAGCACACCCUCCCCCAAUCCUUCCAAUAAUAACAGUAAAUAAACAAUGCUGUCCCACAACCUCGUCCCCUCUACCAAUAAAGAAAAGCAAAAUGGAGUAGCACAAUUAACAGAAUUGUAAAGUUGUUAAGGAAUUGCCGACUCUGCUUUUUCGUUGAUUAUUGCUUGAGUUUGCAUUUUGGUGUAUUAGGUUUUCAUUUACUCCAGUCCUGUUGUAUUUUAUAUUGCACUAUGUAUCAAAUCACAUUUGUCUAUUACCAACGGAGAACUCUACUUGCUUUCAUAAGUUAUUUGUUCAUCUUGAAUGCAAAUAUAUCUAAAGUAAUAAAUGAUUUAAUGCAUUUAACAUUUCAAUAUGAUCUUAUUUUUUGUCAAUAGAGAUAUUUUGCAGAGGAAACUUCAUCUUUUUCCCCUAUAAUUUCAUUGUGCAACUUAUAUAAUUUAAGUAGCAGAAUGUAAGAGUUCGGCAACAUUUUGCAGGCUGAACUUGGAGCAAAUGCUAUGUUAGCUGCAUCAAUUGUUGCAUGUAAAGCUGGUGCUGUGGAAAAAGGGAGGCAUGAUAUCUUUUCUACUAAUUUUUUUAGUUUCCUUUGCUUUCAUAAUUCUGAUUCUUUUUGGACUGUUUGAUCUUGCAGGUUCCUCUCUACAUAACAUAUAGUUGAUCUUUCUGGUAAAAGCAAUCCAGUCCUUCCCCUUCCACCCAUCACCAUCAGUAGUGGUGGAAAACGUGCUGGGAAUAAUCUAGCUGUCCAAGCACGACCUAUGUUAAUCUGGUGACGUGCAUGCGUAGUUGAGCACUUAAGUUUUUGGUUUGAUCAACUUCUGUUGGUUUUCCUCAAAAUGAUGAUAAAACAUACCAAUAUAAAUCCAGGUAAAUUAGGUUGGAACUGUCACAGAGGCUAUAGAAGUUGUGAAGUGGGCUAAAGAUGCUCGCUGGGGAGUGAUCGUAUCUCACAGAAGCAGACUGAAGAUUCUUUCAUUACUGAUUUAGCAGUUGGCCUUCCAACCAGCCAGAUUAAAGCUGGAGCUUUCCUUUGUCUUUCAUUCCGUCAUAUUCCUAAGAACUUAUCCAAUUACAAUGACUACUUAGAAUUGAGGAAGAACUUGAAGUGAAGCUGCUUAUGCUGGAGUGAUCUGGCGACAGCCAUAAUACAGCAGGUUGAACACAUCUGUGCAAGUUUUUUGAGUUGAAUUCUUCACACUGUAGUCGUUGGUUGAAAACUGAUUGAGGUUAAAAGAUGCCUUCAGUUUUCAGUGAAUUAUUGAGAUUGGUAGUUGUACCGAACCUUUAUGUGAUUGAAUGCGGUGGCUUUGCAUGUAAAAAUGAGUUUGAAAUUCUUGAGUACAUGAGUUUAUAGGCUCAAGAUAGCAAGGCCAUCUGCGUAGUUUGUUGACCAAUCUGAAAAGUCCAGGUAUUUUUGAUCAGUUAAUUUGUUCGACAUCAAUUUACAGAUAUACCCUUAAGCAUCAGAAUGCCCAUAGACUGCAACCUUGGGCAAAUUA
Phoenix dactylifera (date palm) is the source of this 3314-nucleotide non-coding RNA. The record is from RefSeq and is a predicted model, not a curated record. Lineage: Eukaryota; Viridiplantae; Streptophyta; Magnoliopsida; Arecales; Arecaceae.